CCUACGGGUGGCUGCAGUAGGGAAUCUUCCACAAUGGACGAGAGCCUGAUGGAGCAACGCCGCGUGAGUGAAGAAGGGUUUCGGCUCGUAAAGCUCUGUUGGUAGGGAAGAAAGGUAGAGGUAGUGACUGGCCUUUAUUGUACGGUAAUUACUUAGAUCGUCACGGCUAACUACGUGCCAGCAGCAGAGGUAAUACGUAGGUGGCAAGCGUUGUCCGGUUUUAUUGGGCGUAAAGCGAGUGCAGGCGGUUCAAUAAGUCUGAUGUGAAAGCCUUCGGCUCAACCGGUGAAUUGCAUCAGAAACUGUUUAACUUGAGUGUAGAAGAGGAGAGUGGAACUCCAGGUGUAGCGGUGGAAUGCGUAGAUAUAUGGAAGAACACCAGUGGCGAAGGCGGCUCUCUGGUCUGUAACUGACGCUGAGGCUCGAAAGCAUGGGUAGCGAACAGGAUUAGAUACCCUUGUAGUC
Molecule: ribosomal RNA, 465 nt
Filed under: uncultured bacterium
Lineage: Bacteria
Description: partial 16S ribosomal RNA
Rfam family: Bacterial small subunit ribosomal RNA
Source: RNAcentral